CUCCACGGAAAGUUCCAAAAAGGCUGAAGCAGAAUUACAUAAAUUUUAUUUUGAUGAUGAUAUUUACGAAUCCUCUGAUCUUCUCCAUGAUGAGAAUGGCUUCCCGCCCUUACAACAAGAUGAUGAAGAAGAGAAAGCAAAGAGCUUUGCGUCUGAUUUUUAUCAGUGCGGAAACGACUGGUCUUGUUUGUUGCAAACAAAAAGGAAUUUGAAACAGGCUAAUUUGUUUUAGAUAUGGGUUAUGGGGGUUAAACACAGAAUCAUAAUCAGAUUUAGAUGCCAAUGGCUCCGUUUCACCUUCCGGUAAGAAACUCUAGACUGCAACAAAAUCCAUAAGUACCCGUUUGAAGAACCGGGUUCAACGCCCUUGCCCUUCAUAAAAAAAGAUUCCUGGUUGGAUUUUUUUUGCUACCCGCUUCGUUGUUUGCUUUCAGAGUCCAUUCUUAAGCCUAAAGUUUAUUGCUUUGUUGUGAUGAAUGAUGAUGAAUCCCUUUUGGUUAUACAGGAGCACUUUCACUGUUGAUGCAUUUCGCUAUUGGGGAAUAGAAGGUCUUUUUUUUUUGCUUAUUUUCGUAGUCAUUUUCACUAUGAUCAAUUUGUUGGUCUAAGCAAAUGACGGUCACAUGGACCUCUUUAUCGCAGUCCUCUGACUGCUCGCCUUGUUAAGGAGCGAAGUGAAAUUGCUAGAGGCUAAUCACUGCCCAGGUGCAGCUCUAAUUAAUUUUCGUCUCCAAUAUGGACAAUGCGUUUUGCACACUGGUGAUUUCAGGGCGUGUAAGCUGAUGUAAACUUACCCUCUGCUUGUAUGCCAUCGAGUUAAUGUGCUUUGCUUGGAUACUACAUAUUGCAACGCAAAAAUAAAAGUAAGCAGCUUCUUAUGAGAACUUUGUUAAGUGGUGGAUUUUAUGCUAUCUUUCUGUAUAUUUCUUUAAAUAAUUUGUGUAAUAUUUUCCUUGUUUCUGGUUUCCAUUAUCAAAGUUACUAAAAACUUUCUUGGGAAACAAUCCAGAACUCUUGUUAUUGUUGGUGCAUAUAGCAUUGGGGAAGAAUGUGUCUUUUCUUGCUUUUUCUUAGGCAUUAGGGGUAUUUAUGUUCACCUUUUAGUAUAAUUUCUUCUAUGUAUUUUAGACUGUUCCCAACUGCAUCUUGUAGAUGAGUCCUGAUUUCACAACAUACAUUUACUUACAUGCACCUCUCGGUUUUGUACUGCUACUCAUAAGAGUGGUUCUUGUAACUUUUAUCGUCAGUGGGAAUGUGAUUGGUUUAAAUUUUGCUAAACAAUAUCAUUCACAAUGUUUUGGGUUAAAAUAUGCAAUUUUCCACGGAGAAGGGUUUUGCAGUCCUUUGAUUGGCAUGAGUUUUCUGGGAGUCUCUGUACACAGCGAAACACUUCUGUACUUGAUGUGCUUAGCUGUGUGGAGUUGAGUAUUGUUUGACUCAAUUGUAUUUAGGCAAAAUUUGAGCUUCAGCUCACUGACUUGGAAGGUUCUUGACACAAGCUCAAACUUGAGGCAUAGUGAUUUUAGGAUUACGUGAAGACCUACACAAAUCAGUAUGCAGCAGUAUUGGCAUUUUGGCCAAUAGGUUGGACUUAAUAAGAGAGUAUGUGGAACCAACUCAGUUUCAUUAAGCCUAUCUAUAGAGGCAAUAUUACAAUUUAUGGAGUUCCAUAUAGUAAGCAGCACUAAGUUUCACAGAGCUGUGAGAUUUUGUUCAGAUCAUGAACGAACUUCUACCGUUUCCCAGUUUUUGAGGCCCGACAGGGAAUGCUGCUAACGAGACUAGUUGCAAUCCUGUUUCAGAGAGUGGCUUAAAGGUUAAAUUCUUGCACAAGUAGAUAAAUUUGUGGAUCUCCACACCACCCACCCCCUCCCAAGAUUGGCCAAUGUAGACACAGUUUUUGCUUUCAGAAGCCAAAAUUCCUGAACAUAGGAUUUUUUUGAGUGUUGUGUGAGUGCCCAUGGUUGCGGAGCUAAUGACUGAUCAUUGGCACUAACUUCUGCUAAUUUGUUUCAAUUUUAGUGUAUAAAAUUUUAUCCAUAGGCGUUAAUUCCAAGAAGAAUAAUUAAAAUGCUAAAAGUACACUGCAUCUUUGACAGAACCGUAAUAUUCAUAAUUGAUUCAUAUAUGAAUUUAUAUUUUGAGUUGUGAUA
Molecule: long non-coding RNA, 2153 nt
Organism: Mangifera indica (mango)
Lineage: Eukaryota; Viridiplantae; Streptophyta; Magnoliopsida; Sapindales; Anacardiaceae
Exons: 6
Source: RefSeq, a predicted model, not a curated record